Long non-coding RNA from Coffea arabica (coffee), 343 nucleotides. RefSeq lists it as uncharacterized. NCBI's taxonomy places the organism in Eukaryota, Viridiplantae, Streptophyta, Magnoliopsida, Gentianales, Rubiaceae. The record is from RefSeq and is a predicted model, not a curated record.
UCUUCAUUCCAGCCGUGCAACUCCAAGGAAAAACAAGACCAAGUUCUUCAUUUUUCCUUCAUCAAAUCUUCAUCAAACCUCUUCCAAUUCACUCCAAAUUCGAACUACACUUAACUAAACAUUUAGAGAUCCCAUUGAGCUAAGAAAAGGAGCUGCUAUUCACGGUUUUUCUUGUGCUAAGGAAGGCAAAAAAUUCUGACUUUGUUCACCACACAAGUAGGCACUCGAGGGAAUCUCCAAGAGGAACUCGGAGCGGACACCUAAACGCUUGUUUGAAAACUACUCUCUUGUUUUGACUAGGGUUCGAGACCAAUGGUGCUCGUGAGUAGUACUAGAUUGUUUU